UGGGGAAUAUUGCACAAUGGGCGCAAGCCUGAUGCAGCCAUGCCGCGUGUAUGAAGAAGGCCUUCGGGUUGUAAAGUACUUUCAGUCGGGAGGAAGGUGUCAAGGUUAAUAACCUUGGCAAUUGACGUUACCGACAGAAGAAGCACCGGCUAACUCCGUGCCAGCAGCCGCGGUAAUACGGAGGGUGCAAGCGUUAAUCGGAAUUACUGGGCGUAAAGCGCACGCAGGCGGUUGAUUGAGUCAGAUGUGAAAUCCCCGGGCUUAACCCGGGAAUUGCAUCUGAUACUGGUCAGCUAGAGUCUUGUAGAGGGGGGUAGAAUUCCAUGUGUAGCGGUGAAAUGCGCAGAGAUGUGGAGGAAUACCGGUGGCGAAGGCGGCCCCCUGGACAAAGACUGACGCUCAGGUGCGAAAGCGUGGGGAGCAAACAGG
This 429-nucleotide ribosomal RNA is filed under the name Chloroflexota bacterium. RNAcentral describes it as "Chloroflexi bacterium partial 16S ribosomal RNA". It matches the Rfam family "Bacterial small subunit ribosomal RNA", at positions 355 to 776 of the family's 1533-position model. The record is from RNAcentral. Lineage: Bacteria; Bacillati; Chloroflexota.